RNAcentral lists this long non-coding RNA (1190 nucleotides) under Lynx pardinus (Iberian lynx). Lineage: Eukaryota; Metazoa; Chordata; Mammalia; Carnivora; Felidae. The record is from RNAcentral.
CCUCGGAGCCUCUUGCUUUGGCCCCAGUAGCUCCUCUAGUGUCAAGGGAAGCUUGUUACGAUGGAGCAUGCUGGGAAAGACCUCAGAGAGGGCCUGAAACAAUGGGAGGUCAUUGUUCAGGACGAGGAGACCCAUGCUAAACAGACCAGCGGGGGAAGACCUGGCGGACAGAGACUCGGGAGUCUCGAUGAGGGGCUUCUCUCGGGGAGGAGAGGGCAGGAAGGAUGGUGAGGCUUGGCAGGUCGUUCCCCCCACUCUUUCUUUAUCCACCACCGAGUGGAGAAUACUCCAAGGAGCUCUCAGGGAGUGCGGCAAGGGCCCUGGGGCUCUGAAUUUUGCUGCUUCAGGAGAGCCACUCGGGAGAGCAACAGACUGCACAAGGGGUCAUUGAGAAGCAGAUGUUUACUGUGUUAAACCACUGGACUUUGGGGUUGUUUGUUAUAAUAGUGCGUCAUGGCUGAUACAAUGCUUAGUUCUGCUUCGGACUUCAGGGUGUUAGCCCAGCACUAUAGACAUGACUCAUUCGUUCAACAAGCACUGUGAGUGCCAGUCGUGUGCUAAGCAGGCAGUGAGGGGGCCUGAUGAGCCUAAGCAGACAGCGAUAGGGAGGACUUCUGAGUAACAGGAGAGGGUCAUUGGGAUAGGCAAGCACACACCGGGCCCAGGUUCCAGGUGAAAGACAUUGAUAUUGGUUUGUUCGGCUGCAGGUCUGUGCCUGCCUACUGUGGGUGGCAAGGGCUGGGCGGUGUGAUUAGUCCAGCCAUCAGACUUUAGGCUUUAUCUGGUAUCUUUGGAAGAUGUCACAUGCCACAGUCAGCAGGUCAUCCUGGCAUUUGGGGUCUAGAUCCCCCUUAGAGCCACUCAACAGAAAAGAGGACAGCUUUCCCUGGUUUUUAAAUGAUAAAUGCACUCCGUUCACCCCCUUGGCUUUACAUGGGAAGGGAGAAGUGUGUAUUAAGGAAAGAGAUACCAUGAUAUCCUCAGCACAUUCAGCUGGAAGUGGUGAGGACAGGCCAGGGGAGGGUUUUCAGUGGUUGACCAGGUGCCCCGUUCAGAAGCGGUGCUGGCUGUGGGCCAUGGAGGCGCUGGCACAGCCCGCCCCCGCCAACCGAGCUUCCCACCAGCUUCUCCCAGGGCCACCCCGGGGGUUGCACCACAUACAUCUUUAAUUUUUUCAAUUAACAACAAUA